RNAcentral lists this unclassified non-coding RNA (3093 nucleotides) under Owenia fusiformis. RNAcentral describes it as "misc RNA OFUS_LOCUS23654". Lineage: Eukaryota; Metazoa; Annelida; Polychaeta; Sabellida; Oweniidae. The record is from RNAcentral.
AUGUACGCCGCCAUAUCUGGUUGUUGUUCACAAAAGGCCUCUAGUUCGAAUACGGCGUGGUGCUUGUAUAUUCAGGCUUAUACAGAUACAGACGCAGUUUAUGCAGUACAAGAAUCUUGUCAAUAUAUCAGCAAAUAAUCUCCAUAAGCACUACACAUAGAAGCAUUUUCUGAUAGUGAACACUGUUUGGACAUGGCUGGUGUACUGAGAGGACGGGAGACGGUUGUUGAAGCAACAACGAUCUAUGAUUAUUACGAACGCAAGAUAAACAACACUCCAGGGACUGCUGGAUUGGAAGCUAUACGCUACAAUGGAAGAAGCAUCACCCAUGGGAAAUUGAAUGCCAAGGCAAAUAUUCUCGCUAAAGCAAUAUUGAAAAGGAUUGAAUCCUCCAGUGGGACAGUAGAUCCGAUUAUUGGUGUGUUUAUACAGCCGAGUGAUGCUCGAAUAAUUGCGAUUCUUUCAAUCUUCAAAUUAGGUGCAGGGUAUGUACCGCUGGAUCCAGUUCUUCCAGCAGAACGAAUCAAGCAUAUCGUCAAUGAAGCGAAACCGUUGUGUAUAAUCGCAUCAAAGGAAAAUAAAACACUAUUUAACAAUGUCGAAAUACUCGGAGUUGAUGUCUUCGAGAUUUCAGAACUAUUAGACAAUGAAGAGUCCAUAUCCGGUGACAAUCUUAUCCCGAAAGAAAGACUAUCAAAUGCUAAGGACCCACUUGCAUGUGUCCUGUAUACGUCCGGGAGUACAGGUACUCCCAAAGGAGUGAAACUGCGUCACAGUAAUGUUAUGAAUAGACUUAUGUGGCAAUGGGAGACGCUUCCGUUCAAAAAAGAUGAUGUUGCAUGUGCUAAGACUUCCAUACUAUUUGUUGACUCACUCACAGAAGCAUUUAGUGCGUUGUUAGCGACUGUCCCGAUUGUGAUUGUUCCCAAGUCUGAUACGCAGAACCCUGAGAUUUUUGUAAACAUUUUGAGUGAAAACAAAAUUACUCGACUCGUUGUUGUCCCGUCGUUGCUAAAAAACAUACUACUCUAUCUCCAGUUAAAACAAGAUUCAACGUCUCUAAAGCAACUGCGAGUUGUUGUCACAAGUGGAGAAAUCUUGCCAUCACUCCUGCUUACAGAAUUCUUCAAAGCAUUUCCAACGGGCUGUAUUCUAGCUAACCUGUACGGGAGCACCGAAACAACAGGAGACAUCACUGCAGAGCUUUUCACAAGUGAUGACAUCACAAACAAAAUAACAAAUGGAAAGGUAAAGAUAGGAUCUCCUAUUGACAACUGCAACGUCUAUCUAUUAGACACAGACAUGAAACCAGUCCAGGAUGGUGAACUUGGCGAGAUGUUUUUCAGUGGCGCAAACAUAUCUGAAGGAUAUAUGGAUCGAGAGAAAAUGGUUCAGUUUGUAGCGAAUAUGAUAAGUCCAUCUCCCAACCAUGAAAUUCUUUUCCGAUCUGGCGACUUUGGACGAAUCAUUGACGGUGGAAUACUAUACGAGGGAAGACAAGACGCUCAGGUUAAGAUAAGAGGUCACAGGGUAAACUUAACAGAAAUAGAAAACGUAGUGUUAAGAGUGAAUGGAGUCGAUAAAGCUGUAGUGAUAGCUCACGAGACGAAUGAGUCUAACAAAGUUCUUGUUGCGUUCUUUACAUGCCUAACCGGGGAAGAUCUUACAGAAGUCGUCAGGACAAAGUGUAAGGAAAAUGUCCCGACGUAUAUGGUGCCACAGGUGGAGCAAUUAGACACGAUGCCACUUCAGAGCCACACUGGAAAGGUCGAUAGGGUAAAUCUCAAAGUGAGAUUCGCUGCAAAGUACGCCAAAGCCAAAGAUGACGACGAUGCAGUCAAGAUGCCCGAUCCAGUAGCUGAUGUUAUAUUUUCUGUGAUUGCUAAAGAGUUGGGAAUUUUCAAAACAUCACUCAAUUAUGAAGAUAAUUUCUUCAAUGUUGGAGGAAACAGCGUGAACGCCAUGUCCGUCUUGAUGAAGCUAAAAACACAUGGCGUUUCGAUCGGGAUAACGGAUUUCAUAAAAGCUACCUCGUUGCGUGAGGUUGUACAACUUGCCAAAUCUUCCACUGGAAACAUUGCGUCUUCCAUCCCACCCGGGAAAUACAUCGUUAGAUUGCUCAAUGACGAUCCAAACUUAGAGGAAGCUGUCCGCCUGAACGCAGAAAACUUUUGCUCAAAAGAAUUCAUGACAGAGUAUCUGAAAAUACCAGUUGAUAUGUUUGUCAACUUCGUCAACAAUUUCAUGCCACAAGUUCUUGAAGAACGUCUGUCUAUAACUGUCAGGGAUGCAAACACUGGGACAUUACUUGGUGCUACUUUUAACGUAACUACGGAAGGGGAAUCCGAUGUCGUAUGGCCUGAUAAAAUGCUUCCAAUAGCGGCGUUCUUGGAACAAGGCGAGGGACCAUUGAAAGAAAAGACUGCAGAACUGGGUGGUAAAUGGGUGGCCUCUUUUGUAGCAGGGACAAACUUGUCUUUGUCUUUCAAAGAAAAUCUCGAAUUGAUGUGGUUAAUGGAGAACGAGAGUUUGAAAAUAGCACGAGAUGCUGGCUACGAUGGCUUCACUUCAGUUAACACCCACUAUGUCACAUGCGAUAUGGCUGAACAUACGUUUGGAUACACAGUGGUUAGCGUUAAUAAAGUCAAAGACUUUAUUUAUGAUGGGAAACAAGUGUUCAGUGGCUUACCAGACGAUUUGUAUGGAAAGGGGGCGUACAUUCAAUUAAAAACAGCACAGAUAGAAAAUACAUGAAGACCAGAGACGAGUUGAGAGAAAUUGUCACAAUAUUUCUUGGCGCACAACAUUCGAUGUAUCGUCUUUUUAUAAUGAGUCCAGCAUUUGUGUUUUUUUAUCACGAUGAUCUUUAUUGUUAAAUUGCUUCAAACACUGGUGAUCCGCUCGAUUACGCUGGUUACCGAGACGGUUCGUUUCGGUAACAAAAUGCCGGAACGUUGAAGGAACGAUUUAACGAAGGUACGAUUGGGAUAAAAAUGUCGUGAGGAUUCUGCCUACAUCCGCCGAAUCGUUUCGGUAACCAGCGUAAUCGAGUGGAUCACCGGUGUCAAAGACAUAGCUUAAACUGCUUCCAAC